Molecule: ribosomal RNA, 253 nt
Filed under: uncultured bacterium
Lineage: Bacteria
Description: partial 16S ribosomal RNA
Rfam family: Bacterial small subunit ribosomal RNA
Source: RNAcentral
UACGUAGGGGGCAAGCGUUGUCCGGAAUCAUUGGGCGUAAAGAGCGUGUAGGCGGCUUGGUAAGUCCGCUGUGAAAGUCCAGGGCUCAACCCUGGAAUGCCGGUGGAAACUGUCAAGCUUGAGUCCGGAAGAGGCGAGUGGAAUCCUGGUGUAGCGGUGAAAUGCGCAGAUAUCAGGAGGAACACCAAUGGCGAAGGCAGCUCAGCUGGGACGGUACUGACGCUGAGACGCGAAAGCGUGGGGAGCAAACAGG